Molecule: ribosomal RNA, 489 nt
Filed under: Triticum aestivum (bread wheat)
Lineage: Eukaryota; Viridiplantae; Streptophyta; Magnoliopsida; Poales; Poaceae
Description: partial small subunit ribosomal RNA
Source: RNAcentral
AUGAGCAACGCCACGGUCGACGAGAAGGUGCUCGGGGAGUGCCUCAACGAGAUGCCCCGCGCACUCCUGCAGUCCUACGUCUGGGGCCAAGCCUCGCAGAACACCGGGUCGGGAUUGUCAACUUCUUUGGGCAGUCUAUUUGAUUCUGAUGUUGAAGAAAACAGUGCCCCUUCAGUGCCCACCAUAGAAGCUGGCCGAGAUACGGAGGAGCUAGAUUCUUUCUCAAAAAAGAGGUCCUAUUUACUGAGCAAAAUGAACUUCUCGAAGCAAGAAGUCGAUUUGGCAGUCAAUGAGUUAGGUGAGUGUGCAUCAAUUGAUCAGCUUGUGGACUGGAUUGUGACCGCUCAAGAAGCUACAACUGAGAAGGAAGCCACUGAGAUAAACAAGAGGUCAUUGAAGUAUGCGUGGGUGCUCGACCAGUUGAAGGCUAACCGUGAGAGGGGUAUCAACAUUGAUAUUGCCCUGCAGAAGUUUGAGACCACCAAGUAG